CGUAGGUGGCAAGCGUUGUCCGGAGUUACUGGGUGUAAAGGGCGUGUAGGCGGGAAGAUAAGUCAGAUGUGAAAUUCCAUGGCUCAACUGUGGCGCUGCAUCUGAAACUAUUUUCUUGAGUGAUGGAGAGGAAAGUGGAAUUCCUAGUGUAGCGGUGAAAUGCGUAGAUAUUAGGAGGAACACCAGUGGCGAAGGCGACUUUCUGGACAUUAACUGACGCUGAGGCGCGAAAGCGUGGGGAGCAAACAGGAUUAGAUACCCUGGUAGUCCACGCUGUAAACGAUGGAUACUAGGUGUAGGAGGUAUCGACCCCUUCUGUGCCGGAGUUAACACAAUAAGUAUCCCACCUGGGGAGUACGGCCGCAAGGUUG
Molecule: ribosomal RNA, 371 nt
Filed under: uncultured organism
Description: bacterial SSU rRNA
Rfam family: Bacterial small subunit ribosomal RNA
Source: RNAcentral